AUUGACAACAACUGGAUCUGAGCGCACUUUUCAAACCGCCUUCAAACCACCAACUUUUUUUUGUAAUUCUAUGUAGGGGCGGGCGCCCAAGGAGUGGGACAUGACCAUUCAUGCACUGUCGGCUGAAGCCCGUCGGUGGCUGAGUGGCGGUCUGUAGAUGCAGUGCAUACUCAGUGGAUUCUGUUGGGUUGUCAAGUAUUGUGGAUGACAUUGCUUUUGCCUGCAGCAGCAUUGGCUGAGCAAUUCUGUGUGCAAUAUCAUCUCUUAGAUGGUAGGUUGCAGAACUGUGGCUCAGGCUAUCACUUGAAGUGAUUGGAUGUGUGGUGAAUCAUGGCAACAAAAUGGUCAUGUGUAUGAACAUGUCAUGUGAACACAUCUGUGUGCAGUCCACAGUUGUGAA
This 400-nucleotide unclassified non-coding RNA is filed under the name Alexandrium catenella. Its description in RNAcentral is "partial 5' external transcribed spacer". Lineage: Eukaryota; Dinophyceae; Gonyaulacales; Pyrocystaceae. The record is from RNAcentral.